AACGAACGCUGGCGGCAUGCCUAACACAUGCAAGUCGAACGAGACCUUCGGGUCUAGUGGCGCACGGGUGCGUAACACGUGGGAAUCUGCCCUUUGCUUCGGAAUAACAGUUAGAAAUGACUGCUAAUACCGGAUGAUGUCGAAAGACCAAAGAUUUAUCGGCAAAGGAUGAGCCCGCGUAGGAUUAGGUAGUUGGUGGGGUAAAGGCCUACCAAGCCGACGAUCCUUAGCUGGUCUGAGAGGAUGAUCAGCCACACUGGGACUGAGACACGGCCCAGACUCCUACGGGAGGCAGCAGUGGGGAAUAUUGGACAAUGGGCGAAAGCCUGAUCCAGCAAUGCCGCGUGAGUGAUGAAGGCCUUAGGGUUGUAAAGCUCUUUUAACAGGGAUGAUAAUGACAGUACCUGGAGAAUAAGCGCCGGCUAACUCCGUG
This 433-nucleotide ribosomal RNA is filed under the name uncultured bacterium. RNAcentral's name for it is "partial 16S ribosomal RNA". It matches the Rfam family "Bacterial small subunit ribosomal RNA", at positions 29 to 507 of the family's 1533-position model. The record is from RNAcentral.